RNAcentral lists this ribosomal RNA (996 nucleotides) under uncultured Corynebacterium sp. RNAcentral's name for it is "bacterial SSU rRNA". It matches the Rfam family "Bacterial small subunit ribosomal RNA", at positions 505 to 1498 of the family's 1533-position model. Lineage: Bacteria; Bacillati; Actinomycetota; Actinomycetes; Mycobacteriales; Corynebacteriaceae. The record is from RNAcentral.
GUGCCAGCAGCCGCGGUAAUACGUAGGGUGCGAGCGUUGUCCGGAAUUACUGGGCGUAAAGAGCUCGUAGGUGGUUUGUCGCGUCGUCUGUGAAAUUCCGGGGCUUAACUCCGGGCGUGCAGGCGAUACGGGCAUAACUUGAGUACUGUAGGGGUAACUGGAAUUCCUGGUGUAGCGGUGAAAUGCGCAGAUAUCAGGAGGAACGCCGAUGGCGAAGGCAGGUUACUGGGCAGUUACUGACGCUGAGGAGCGAAAGCAUGGGUAGCGAACAGGAUUAGAUACCCUGGUAGUCCAUGCCGUAAACGGUGGGCGCUAGGUGUGAGGGUCUUUUCACGACUUUCGUGCCGUAGCUAACGCAUUAAGCGCCCCGCCUGGGGAGUACGGCCGCAAGGCUAAAACUCAAAGGAAUUGACGGGGGCCCGCACAAGCGGCGGAGCAUGUGGAUUAAUUCGAUGCAACGCGAAGAACCUUACCUGGGCUUGACAUACACCGGAUUGGGCUAGAGAUAGUCUUUCCCUUUGUGGUUGGUGUACAGGUGGUGCAUGGUUGUCGUCAGCUCGUGUCGUGAGAUGUUGGGUUAAGUCCCGCAACGAGCGCAACCCUUGUCUUGUGUUGCCAGCACGUUAUGGUGGGGACUCGCGAGAGACUGCCGGGGUUAACUCGGAGGAAGGUGGGGAUGACGUCAAAUCAUCAUGCCCCUUAUGUCCAGGGCUUCACACAUGCUACAAUGGUCGGUACAGUGGGUUGCGAUACCGUGAGGUGGAGCUAAUCCCUUAAAGCCGGUCUCAGUUCGGAUUGGAGUCUGCAACUCGACUCCAUGAAGUCGGAGUCGCUAGUAAUCGCAGAUCAGCAACGCUGCGGUGAAUACGUUCCCGGGCCUUGUACACACCGCCCGUCACGUCAUGAAAGUUGGUAACACCCGAAGCCAGUGGCUCAAACUUGUUAGGGAGCUGUCUAAGGUGGGAUCGGCGAUUGGGACGAAGUCGUAACAAGGUA